AGUGAACGCUGGCGGUAGGCCUAACACAUGCAAGUCGAACGGCAGCACAGUAAUAGCUUGCUCUUAUCGGUGGCGAGUCGCGGACGUGUGAGGUAUACAUCGGACUCUACUUUUUCGUGGGGGAUAACGUAGGGAAACUUACGCUAAUACAGCAUCCCACCUACGGGUGAAAGCAGUGGAUCUUCGGACCUUGCGCGAUUGAAUGAGCCGAUGUCGGACUAGCUAGUUGGCGGGGUAAAGACCCACCAAGUCGCCGAUCCGUAGCUGGUCUGAGAGGAUGAUCAGCCACACUGGAAGUUAAACGCGGUCCAGACUCCUACGGGAGGCAGCAGUGUGCAAUGUUGGGCAGUAGGCGCAAGCAUGAUCCAGCGAUACCGCGUGGGUGAAGAAAGCCUUCGGGGUGUAAAGCCCUUUUGUUGGGAAAGAAAAGCAGCAGGUUAAUACCCAGCUGUUCUGACGGUACCCAAAAAAUAAGCACCGGCUAACUUCGUG
This 492-nucleotide ribosomal RNA is filed under the name uncultured bacterium. RNAcentral's name for it is "partial 16S ribosomal RNA". It matches the Rfam family "Bacterial small subunit ribosomal RNA", at positions 29 to 507 of the family's 1533-position model. The record is from RNAcentral.